UACGAAGGGGGCUAGCGUUGUUCGGAUUUACUGGGCGUAAAGCGCACGUAGGCGGAUCUUUUAAGUCAGAGGUGAAAUCCCAAGGCUCAACCUUGGAACUGCCUUUGAUACUGGGGAUCUCGAGUUCGGGAGAGGUGAGUGGAACUGCGAGUGUAGAGGUGAAAUUCGUAGAUAUUCGCAAGAACACCAGUGGCGAAGGCGGCUCACUGGCCCGAUACUGACGCUGAGGUGCGAAAGCGUGGGGAGCAAACAGG
RNAcentral lists this ribosomal RNA (254 nucleotides) under uncultured bacterium. RNAcentral's name for it is "partial 16S ribosomal RNA". It matches the Rfam family "Bacterial small subunit ribosomal RNA", at positions 524 to 776 of the family's 1533-position model. The record is from RNAcentral.